GUCCACGCCCUAACUAUGUCAACUAGACGUUGGUCCCUUUAAUGGGAUUAGUGUCGAAGCUAACGCGUUAAGUUGACCGCCUGGGAGUACGGCCGCAAGGUUGAACUCAAGGAAUUGACGGGCCCGCACAAGCGGUGGAGCAUGUGGUUUAAUUCGAUGCAACGCGAAGAACCUUACCAGCCCUUGACAUCCUCGGAACUUUGUAGAGAUACAUUGGUGCCUUCGGGAAUCGAGAGACAGGUGCUGCAUGGCUGUCGU
This 258-nucleotide ribosomal RNA is filed under the name uncultured bacterium. Its description in RNAcentral is "partial 16S ribosomal RNA". It matches the Rfam family "Bacterial small subunit ribosomal RNA", at positions 793 to 1055 of the family's 1533-position model. The record is from RNAcentral.